RNAcentral lists this ribosomal RNA (301 nucleotides) under uncultured bacterium. RNAcentral's name for it is "partial 16S ribosomal RNA". It matches the Rfam family "Bacterial small subunit ribosomal RNA", at positions 509 to 807 of the family's 1533-position model. The record is from RNAcentral.
CAGCCGCCGCGGUAAUACGGAGGGUGCAAGCGUUAAUCGGAAUUACUGGGCGUAAAGCGCACGCAGGCGGUCUGACAAGUCAGAUGUGAAAUCCCCGGGCUUAACCUGGGAACUGCAUUUGAAACUGUCAGGCUGGAGUCUUGUAGAGGGGGGUGGAAUUCCAGGUGUAGCGGUGAAAUGCGUAGAGAUCUGGAGGAAUACCGGUGGCGAAGGCGGCCCCCUGGACAAAGACUGACGCUCAGGUGCGAAAGCGUGGGGAGCAAACAGGAUUAGAUACCCCCGUAGUUCCUGUCUCUUAUAC